AUUUCUUUUGACUGGCUCUCAUUAGAACAAUUGAAUUUACUUAGUUGUCCCGAAAUGAAGACACUUUGUGCUGCAAUUCCAGGCUCAACAUCACUGAAUAAAAGUUUUGAUCAAAUUGACCUUAUUGGUGGCAAGAAAAUCAUGUGUCCAAGAAGCUCAAUUACUCAAGGGUUGGUAAGAAGAGGUAGGGAGCGAAAAAAUGUCUCCAGCAAAAAGGAUAUCAAACAGCCGAGUACAUUCCAAAUGAACAAUGGACAAUUUCAAUCAAGUAUUGAACCAGCGGAAAUAAUUUCCAUAUUACUUCCAUCAAAUUGGCUACUAUUACCAAAUUUGCAAAACCUUCAUUUGGGUGCAUGUAAUUCGCUAAAAGUGAUUUUUCCUCCCUCUGUGGCCCAACAAUUGGUGCAGCUUCAAUAUUUAAAUAUCCGUGGAUGUUCUGGGAUGGAAUACAUUGUUGCAGAAACACAAGAACAAGAAAAAAACAAGGGAACAAACAAAGUAGUGUUUCCUAACCUGUCUUUACUUGAACUUGUUACACUACCAAAACUGGUGGCUUUUUGCCUUGACAGUCAUGUUUCUUUUGAUUUUCCCCUGUUAAAACGAUUGAACUUGUAUGGUUGUCCCAAUAUGAAGACAUUUUGUUUUGCAAUUUCAAGCUCAUGGGCAUUUAGCAGAAGUGUUGAUCAGACUAAUAAUGGAUUUGAUGGCAAGCAUGCACAUAACUCAAUAGUUCGAGGUUUGCUAAAAGGAGGAAGAGAGCAAAAAUAUGUUUCCAGCAAAGAGGUCUCACUAGUCAAGAACGAGGAGGAUCCAUCUGUUAGCCACAUUGAUGAGAAGACAGAGACAUGUUAUGCAUUUCCAUCCAAAUU
RNAcentral lists this unclassified non-coding RNA (869 nucleotides) under Hevea brasiliensis (rubber tree). The record is from RNAcentral. Lineage: Eukaryota; Viridiplantae; Streptophyta; Magnoliopsida; Malpighiales; Euphorbiaceae.